AAUAUUGGACAAUGGGGGCAACCCUGAUCCAGCCAUGCCGCGUGUGUGAAGAAGGUCUUCGGAUUGUACCGCUCUGUCCUUGGGGAAGAAGAUCGAAAGAUUUGACGGUACCCGAGGAGGAAGCCCCGGCUAACUACGUGCCAGCAGCCGCGGUAAUACGUAGGGGGCAAGCGUUGUCCGGAAUUAUUGGGCGUAAAGGGUGCGUAGGCGGCUUUUUAAGUCAGAUGUGAAAGACCACGGCUUAACCGUGGGGUUGCAUUUGAAACUGGAAGGCUUGAGUAUCGGAGAGGGUAGUGGAAUUCCCAGUGUAGCGGUGAAAUGCGUAGAUAUUGGGAAGAACACCAGUGGCGAAGGCGACAUACUGGCUCAUUACUGACGCUGAGGCGCGAAAGCGUGGGGAGCAAACA
This 407-nucleotide ribosomal RNA is filed under the name uncultured bacterium. Its description in RNAcentral is "partial 16S ribosomal RNA". It matches the Rfam family "Bacterial small subunit ribosomal RNA", at positions 360 to 774 of the family's 1533-position model. The record is from RNAcentral.